RNAcentral lists this ribosomal RNA (364 nucleotides) under uncultured bacterium. RNAcentral's name for it is "partial 16S ribosomal RNA". It matches the Rfam family "Bacterial small subunit ribosomal RNA", at positions 338 to 699 of the family's 1533-position model. The record is from RNAcentral.
CCUACGGGAGGCAGCAGUGAGGAAUAUUGGUCAAUGGCCGGAACGCUGAACCAGCCAUGCCGCGUGAAGGACAGUGCCCUUCGGGCGUUAAACUUCUUUUGUGCGGGAGCAAUGAUGGUCAUGUGUGGCCAGACGAGAGUACCGUACGAAUAAGCAUCAGCUAAGUCCGUGCCAGCAGCCGCGGUGAUACGGGGGGGGAAAGGGUUUGCCGGGUUGAUUGGGUUGAAAGGGUGCGGAGGCUGGGAGGUAAGUCGUGGGUGAAAUGCCCCCGGCCGACGGGGUGAAGUGCCAUUGAUACUGCCUUGCUGGAGUGCGGAUGCGGUAGGAGGAAUGUGUGGUGUAGCGGUGAAAUGCGUAGAUAUCA